RNAcentral lists this ribosomal RNA (292 nucleotides) under uncultured bacterium. RNAcentral describes it as "partial 16S ribosomal RNA". It matches the Rfam family "Bacterial small subunit ribosomal RNA", at positions 505 to 796 of the family's 1533-position model. The record is from RNAcentral.
GUGUCAGCAGCCGCGGUAAUACGGAGGUUGCAAGCGUUGUUCGGAAUAACUGGGCGUAAAGGGAGCGCAGGCGGUUCGGUAAGUCUGAAGUGAAAUCCCAGAGCUCAACUCUGGACCUGCUUCGGAUACUGCCGAGCUUGAGUACGUGAGAGGAGAGUGGAAUUCCAGGUGUAGCGGUGAAAUGCGUAGAUAUCUGGAGGAACACCAGUGGCGAAAGCGGCUCUCUGGCACGUUACUGACGCUGAGGCUCGAAAGCGUGGGGAGCAAACGGGAUUAGAAACCCGCGUAGUCC